Molecule: ribosomal RNA, 492 nt
Filed under: uncultured bacterium
Lineage: Bacteria
Description: partial 16S ribosomal RNA
Rfam family: Bacterial small subunit ribosomal RNA
Source: RNAcentral
AGUGAACGCUGGCGGUAGGCCUAACACAUGCAAGUCGAACGGCAGCACAGUAAGAGCUUGCUCUUACGGGUUGCGAGUGGCGGACGGGUGAGGAAUACAUCGGAAUCUACUUUUUCGUGGGGGAUAACGUAGGGAAACUUACGCUAAUACCGCAUACGCCCUACGGGUGAAAGCAUGGGAUCUUCGGACCUUGCGCGAUUGAAUGAGCCGAUGUCGGAUUAGCUAGUUGGCGGGGUAAAGGCCCACCAAGGCGACGAUCCGUAGCUGGUCUGAGAGGAUGAUAAGCCACACUGGAACGGGAACACGGUCAAGACGCCUAAGGGAGGCAGCAGUGGGGAAUAUUGGACAAUGGGCGGAAGCCUGAUCCAGCCAGACCGCGUGGGUGAAGAAGGCCUUCGGGUUGUAAAGCCCGUUUGUUGGGAAAGAAAAGCAGCAGGUUAAGACCACGCUGGUCUGACGGUACCCAAAGAAUAAGCACCGGCUAACUUCGUG